Molecule: long non-coding RNA, 1268 nt
Filed under: Olea europaea (common olive)
Lineage: Eukaryota; Viridiplantae; Streptophyta; Magnoliopsida; Lamiales; Oleaceae
Description: long non-coding RNA (OEUR_LNC006699)
Source: RNAcentral
GAUAACAAAAAUACCCAACGAGACGGGGUGAAAACGGCCAAUUCGUCCCAUAUCUACCUCGUUGCCAUCCUUAUUAAAUGUAAUAUUUCUAAAUUUUAAGACAGCCAAACCAUUCCUAAAAUCAAUAUUACUAUUUUAAAUUGUUUCCAACCCCACUUCUCCCCCUCGUUGUGCUCUCUCUACUCCUCCGUGAAAUUUCUUUGCCUGAACCUUGGAGGUCUAGGUUUCGCCAUAAACAGGUACUUAAUGAGCUCAGAUUGUUUAUAAUUUUUGCCAUUGGCUUCUUAGGUUAGGAGGUUAUUCAUCAAAGGAAACUGACAAAUCAAUUGUUGGAAAUAGUUCGUUACAAUAUAUUGAAUGAAAUUGGUUGUUUUCUAGCAUACUUAUGAAGGUUGGAUGAAUAUACCGAACAAUUUCAUUAGAUGAAUUAGGAAGGUCAUGAAUGAGUUGGAUGACACAUCUUUAACAACCGAGGUGCUUUUCAUUUUAUGCCGAUUGUUUGUAAACGUUUAUCGCGGCAUAUUUUCUGUUGUUUGUUUGUUUAGAUUUUUGAAGGAUAAAAUUAGCAAAUUAAUAUUCAGGGUUUUAGGGUUCAGGAAAAAGUGGCUAACUCAGAUCGUUGCGAUCUUAUACAGUUUCUGCAACAAAUUAGAAGAACCAAAAAAAAUAACAAUAAUAAUAAUAAAUAAAUAAAUAAUAAAAUGUGUGGAUUACUGCAGUUUGGUGAUUGUGACUUAUUGUAUUAAAUCUGUUCUCCCUAAAUGCCUUGGGCAUUUUACAGACUGCAUCAAAUUUUGAAUUACAAAUUUGAGAUUCUGUGGAAUCGAAGAGUGGUUAUGUUUGCCCCAUGAAUGUGGUUGUUUAUUGAUAUUUACUUUUGUGAUGUAAAAUCUUUGAAUUGACAGUCAGAAUUUAUUUAUUGCUAUCUCAAAUUAUCAAUCAUAAAUAAAAUGACUCUGAACAUUUUCUAUGCAUUCUAUGUGAUUGGCUUAACAAAACUGGUAAAUAUGGACUGAGAAACAUGCUAUUUGUUUGAUGAAUUUCAUAUACCGUGCACUAUGUUUAAUUGAUUAAAUUUCUUAUCUCCCUUUAUUACUUUUGUCUCAUCUAAGAUAAUUUUGUUUUUAACCAGUUGCAGAGUAUAUCAGGUAUUCAUUAUUUAACCUUCGAGGCUAAAGUUGUGCUGAAGAGAAAGAUCAAAUUGUGAGGAACUAAAGGCCUCUCAAUGGCCCUGAAUACCAUAAAUAUAUCAAAGCACUUCUCUUGAN